This 376-nucleotide ribosomal RNA is filed under the name uncultured bacterium. RNAcentral describes it as "bacterial SSU rRNA". It matches the Rfam family "Bacterial small subunit ribosomal RNA", at positions 523 to 898 of the family's 1533-position model. The record is from RNAcentral.
AUACGUAGGGGGCAAGCGUUGUCCGGAAUUAUUGGGCGUAAAGGGCGCGCAGGCGGUCUUUUAAGUCUUGUGUUUAAACCCGGGGCUCAGCCUCGGGACGCACGGGAAACUGGGAGGCUUGAGUGCAGGAGAGGAAAGUGGAAUUCCACGUGUAGCGGUGAAAUGCGUAGAGAUGUGGAGGAACACCAGUGGCGAAGGCGACUUUCUGGCCUGCAACUGACGCUGAGGCGCGAAAGCGUGGGGAGCGAACAGGAUUAGAUACCCUGGUAGUCCACGCCGUAAACGAUGAAUGCUAGGUGUUAGGGAGCACGAACUCCUUAGUGCCGAAGUCAACACAUUAAGCAUUCCGCCUGGGGAGUACGGUCGCAAGACUGAA